GCCUGGGUGGCUCAGUCGGUUAAGCGUCUGACUUUGGCUCAGGUCAUAUCACGGUUCGUGGGUUCAAGCCCACAUCAGGCU
RNAcentral lists this transfer RNA (81 nucleotides) under Felis catus (domestic cat). It matches the Rfam family "tRNA". From Rfam's summary of the family: Transfer RNA (tRNA) molecules are approximately 80 nucleotides in length. The record is from Rfam by way of RNAcentral. Lineage: Eukaryota; Metazoa; Chordata; Mammalia; Carnivora; Felidae.